GUGAGGAGAAGGAAGAGGCUGAAGGCUGGGCUUCUGGUGCCUCUGGGGUCCAGCCACAGCCCCCAGUGCCACCCAGGUCCACUAGUGCCAACAGCUCACUAUCUCCCCAGCAUGAUGACCAGCAGUCAGUGGUUUUACGUCGUCAUUCCUCCUCUGACCUUGCCCGUCAGAAGUUUGGCACUAUGCCCUUGCUGCCCAUCCGAGGAGAUGACAGUGGAGCCACCCUACUCUCUGCCAAUCAGACCCUGGUGAGACCCUAGCCCCAGCAUGUCCUCAGCUUCUGUUCCCUGUCCUUACCCUUGUCCUAUUGCAGGAGGAAACAGUAUGCCUGUAUGUCAGAUGCCCCACCCACUCACCACGACCCUCUUGUCCCUAGUCUCUGUGACCUCGCUUCCCACCAGCACCUCCUGUUGCCAGGUCUCACUUUGUCUCUGUCUCUCCCUCCCUUCAUCCCCACUCUACCCGGGUCCAGCGGCGACUGCACAACCGGAGAACCUUAUCCAUGUUCUUUCCAAUGAAAUCGUCUCAGGGGUCUGUGGAGGAGCAAGAUGAGCUGGAGGAGCCUGUGUAUGAAGAGCCAGUAUAUGAGGAGGUUGGGGCCUUCCCUGAGCUUACCAAGGACAUGACCUCCACAUGGGAGUGGUCGACCAAGUCAGACACACCCCUUACCAGCCAGAGGUCCUUUGAUCAAACCCCCCUCACCAAAGCAAGCAUGUUGGUCCAGGAGGAGAGGAUACCUGAGCCUCCUCCAGGACCCCCUUCAAAAAGCAGUCCUCAGGCACGAGGGUCCCUAGAGGAACAGCUGCUCCAGGAGCUCAACAACCUCAUCUUGAGGAAAGGAGAACCUGCCACGUGUCCAGAAAGUCCUUCCCAGCCCACCAGUCCUCAAUCCCCCAGCCCCACCAGCCUUCCAACACAGACACCCAGCUUACCCACCCAAAUCCCCUGCGCUUCCAAUCCACCCUCCAGCCAGCCCCUCACAUGACCCCAGGGCCAGCAGUUGAGGAGGAAGGUAACCAGAGGAGAAGCCAGGCUCUCACCGUGGCAGACAAUUGCUGGGAGCAUCUUCUGCCCUGGAUGGAUGACUCUGGGAUCCAGUAUGGUACCAUGGAAGGAGCACUGGACUGAGAACCCUGGAGAUUGUGUGUCUCAGGGAAGAUCAUGGCCCCUCUCUGGGCCCAGCCUAUUUGUCUAUACUAUGAAGUCACUAAAAUAAGGAGAGGGGUGAACACCGAACUGUUUCUGAGCUAGGAGCCCUGAUAUUUCCCUCAGUAGGAGCAGCUCCUGGUGUAUAUAUUUGAUAUAGGGGUUCAGUGAGAGGUUUGCGGCAUAAGAAUGGUUUUACUGCACUAGAGGAAAGUGAAAGUUGGGAAGCAUGAUACCCAAAUCUAUGUUAUUCUACUCCCUAUGUGCUAAAACUGCCUUGAGGCCCUGGAAUGGGGUGGCUGAUUGGUGUUGGGAGCUGGGGCCCAGAGGGAGUUGAAAAGCAAUAGGUCACUAUUAAUAAACUUUGGAACCGAAAGGCU
This 1526-nucleotide long non-coding RNA is filed under the name Rattus norvegicus (Norway rat). RNAcentral describes it as "long non-coding RNA NONRATT013776". Lineage: Eukaryota; Metazoa; Chordata; Mammalia; Rodentia; Muridae. The record is from RNAcentral.